Molecule: long non-coding RNA, 281 nt
Filed under: Medicago truncatula (barrel medic)
Lineage: Eukaryota; Viridiplantae; Streptophyta; Magnoliopsida; Fabales; Fabaceae
Description: long non-coding RNA (MTRU_LNC008896)
Source: RNAcentral
AAUCAUCUUCUCUCCCCCCAUUCUUCACUCAAAUAAAACUUCUUUUUCAAUAAGUAGGCAAUAAAAGUAAAGCGUAGAAAUAAACUUAGGAGAACGGUUCUUAUGGAAUACCAUAAUCGUUCCGGGUGCCUAACACCUUCCCGUAGCGAAAACGACCCCCGAACUUAGACUCUAAGGGUUUUUUUCUCAAUUUUGCCCUUCCCAAGAAAAAAUAGAGAAUAUCAAAGAUUGAAAGGUUCAAGCCUAAUUAAUGACUUGACACCCGAAAAUCGUGAUAACAG